UCCAGCUCUAUUUUUCCUCACUGCUGUAACAGCGGGCUGACUUUGUGUGUACAGUUUACAUAACAUUGUCGUUUUGCCGUUUUAAUAAGUCAGAGUCUCUGCUGAGCAGGCUCCUGAAGGACCAACGGGAGCGCCGGCUGGGAGAGGGACUACGGGACCAGGAGCGUGGCGGUGGCAGGAGGAGGUCCUGAGAAGGGAUAUCCCGACCUCGCUCAUCCCCCUCCACUGGACUGGCCACAGAGGAGGAGGGCGAGGUGCUCCGAUGUUGAAUGGUUCACCGGGCAUCUUCUGUCUUCUCACGCCGUGUGACGGCCUCCUGCGAUCCACACGUCACCGACGUCUGUGUUACACAUGCAGCUGAGCAAGAAGCUGCUGCAGGACACAGGGAGUUGUGUUGCCGAGCACCUCAGGCUGCUGGAUCGGGGCACUGGAACUCGAUCUGUGCUAAAAAUAAAGAAACACCACCAGCAUAGCGAGAAAGGAGGUGUGUCACUUAUCGCGUGGGUACGUGUGUGGGGUCACAAAGGUGCAGCCCACCCCCCAUAGACACAACUUAUCAUAUGCCAACAUGUCCUUGAAGUUUACUCCCUUUGUGUGUGUGUGUGUGUGUGUGUGCGUGUGUGUGUGUGUGUGUGCCAAUCCAAGGUCUUCCUCUCUCCCACUCUUGGUCGCGUGUAUACUUUUCAUGAUUGAUCUGGCUGAUUUUGUUAUUGUCAUUAUCAUUCACAGGCUACCACAAGGUUAAAAGAGGCAAGAACCCUUAUCAAGCGCUUCACUGUGUCAUCUGGUUACAUCACAUGACCUCCAGCGCAGCCAACACAGACACACACAACACGUAAACCCAGCCUGGCUGGCACAAACACAGCUUAUAUUCUACUGAUACACUGCACAGCUUGUUUUUUGUAAUGAUUGUACGACGUGUUUCAUUUGAUCUGACAUGUGACAAGGUAUCCCGCAAUAAAACAACAACUCAUUACAUUCA
Long non-coding RNA from Cyclopterus lumpus (lumpfish), 982 nucleotides. RefSeq lists it as uncharacterized. NCBI's taxonomy places the organism in Eukaryota, Metazoa, Chordata, Actinopteri, Perciformes, Cyclopteridae. The transcript has 3 exons. The record is from RefSeq and is a predicted model, not a curated record.